RNAcentral lists this transfer RNA (68 nucleotides) under Microthoracius praelongiceps. RNAcentral describes it as "tRNA-Gln". The record is from RNAcentral. Lineage: Eukaryota; Metazoa; Arthropoda; Insecta; Psocodea; Microthoraciidae.
UUUACAAAAGUUUAAUUUAAACGUUAAGUUUUGAACUUAAAGUCAGUGGUGAUCUCCACUUUGUAAAA